Molecule: ribosomal RNA, 495 nt
Filed under: uncultured bacterium
Lineage: Bacteria
Description: partial 16S ribosomal RNA
Rfam family: Bacterial small subunit ribosomal RNA
Source: RNAcentral
UGAACGCUGGCGGCGUGCCUAAUACAUGCAAGUCGAGCGAACAGACGCGGAGCUUGCUCCUCUGACGUUAGCGGCGGACGGGUGAGUAACACGUGGAUAACCUACCUAUAAGACUGGGAUAACUUCGGGAAACCGGAGCUAAUACCGGAUAAUAUAUUGAACCGCAUGGUUCACUAGUGAAAGACGGUUUUGCUGUCACUUAUAGAUGGAUCCGCGCCGCAUUAGCUAGUUGGUAAGGUAACGGCUUACCAAGGCAACGAUGCGUAGCCGACCUGAGAGGGUGAUCGGCCACACUGGAACUGAGACACGGUCCAGACUCCUACGGGAGGCAGCAGUAGGGAAUCUUCCGCAAUGAGCGAAAGCCUGACGGAGCAACGCCGCGUGAGUGAUGAAGGUCUUCGGAUCGUAAAACUCUGUUAUUAGGGAAGAACAAAUGUGUAAGUAACUAUGCACGUCUUGACGGUACCUAAUCAGAAAGCCACGGCUAACUACGUG